Molecule: ribosomal RNA, 443 nt
Filed under: uncultured bacterium
Lineage: Bacteria
Description: partial 16S ribosomal RNA
Rfam family: Bacterial small subunit ribosomal RNA
Source: RNAcentral
GAUGAACGCUGGCGGCAUGCCUAACACAUGCGAGUCGAUCGGUAAGGCUCUUCGGAGUACACGAGAGGCGGACGGCUGAGUAACGCGUAGGAACACACCCUGCAGUGAGGGAUAAGACACCGAAAGGUGUUCUAAUACCGCAUACGGUCUUCGGAUUAAAGCAUUUAUGCGCUGAAGGAGUGGCCUGCGUCAUAUUAGAUAGUUGGUGAGGUAAUGGCUCACCAAGUCGAUGAUGUGUAGCUGGUCUGAGAGGAUGAUCAGCCAGACUGGAACUGAGACACGGUCCAGACUCCUACGGGAGGCAGCAGUGAGGAAUAUUUCACAAUGAGCGAAAGCUUGAUGGAGCAAUGCCGCGUGCAGGAUGAAGGCCCUCGGGUUGUAAACUGCUUUUAUAAGAGAAGAUUAUGACGGUAACUUAUGAUUAAGGGACGGCUAACUACGUG